GUCGACGGCAGCACGAGAGAGCUUGCUCUCUUGGUGGCGAGUGGCGGACGGGUGAGUAAUAUAUCGGAACGUGCCCAGUAGCGGGGGAUAACUACUCGAAAGAGUGGCUAAUACCGCAUACGCCCUACGGGGGAAAGGGGGGGAUUCUUCGGAACCUCUCACUAUUGGAGCGGCCGAUAUCGGAUUAGCUAGUUGGUGGGGUAAAGGCUCACCAAGGCAACGAUCCGUAGCUGGUUUGAGAGGACGACCAGCCACACUGGGACUGAGACACGGCCCAGACUCCUACGGGAGGCAGCAGUGGGGAAUUUUGGACAAUGGGGGAAACCCUGAUCCAGCCAUCCCGCGUGUAUGAUGAAGGCCUUCGGGUUGUAAAGUACUUUUGGCAGAGAAGAAAAGGUAUCUCCUAAUACGAGAUACUGCUGACGGUAUCUGCAGAAUAAGCACCGGCUAACUACGUGCCAGCAGCCGCGGUAAUACGUAGGGUGCAAGCGUUAAUCGGAAUUACUGGGCGUAAAGCGUGUGUAGGCGGUUCGGAAAGAAAGAUGUGAAAUCCCAGGGCUCAACCUUGGAACUGCAUUUUUAACUGCCGAGCUAGAGUAUGUCAGAGGGGGGUAGAAUUCCACGUGUAGCAGUGAAAUGCGUAGAUAUGUGGAG
This 654-nucleotide ribosomal RNA is filed under the name Alcaligenes sp. CSGeo20.9(2). RNAcentral describes it as "bacterial SSU rRNA". It matches the Rfam family "Bacterial small subunit ribosomal RNA", at positions 61 to 703 of the family's 1533-position model. Lineage: Bacteria; Pseudomonadati; Pseudomonadota; Betaproteobacteria; Burkholderiales; Alcaligenaceae. The record is from RNAcentral.